This 372-nucleotide unclassified non-coding RNA is filed under the name Hevea brasiliensis (rubber tree). Lineage: Eukaryota; Viridiplantae; Streptophyta; Magnoliopsida; Malpighiales; Euphorbiaceae. The record is from RNAcentral.
GUUAGAUGCGAAAAACUUUCCCCCAAACUCCAAGAAUGUAAGUAUCUACACUUAUCACCAUAACCACAGUUCCCCUGAACCCAAAAAUUACAAAGCUUCUCUGUCUUUCUAAUUAUUCUAUUACCACCACCAUGAACUCGUCCCCACGUCGAGCCGCCGCUAAAAUUGGGACUCCGUCGGGGAACAGAAACAGUCGAAUCAUCAGAGGCGAAUCCAUGACCCCUCUUCGAGGCAGUAUUAACAGCUCCAUUCGAAGCCGCAUGUGGAGGGGCAUUUAACUCACGGUGAAGGAAAGGACAUGGAUAGCGAUUACAUUUACCCGCCCUCCAAUGGUAACAGACCUUCUGAUUCCUAGAAUCUCCAGAAGGCGCG